Transfer RNA from Sus scrofa (pig), 73 nucleotides. It matches the Rfam family "tRNA". From Rfam's summary of the family: Transfer RNA (tRNA) molecules are approximately 80 nucleotides in length. Lineage: Eukaryota; Metazoa; Chordata; Mammalia; Artiodactyla; Suidae. The record is from Rfam.
UCCUUGGUGGCCUAGCAGUUAAGGAUUCAGCAUUGUCACUGCUAUGGCUCAUGUUCGAUCCCUGACCUGGGAA